UAGAGUUUGAUCCUGGCUCAGAUUGAACGCUGGCGGCAUGCUUUACACAUGCAAGUCGAACGGUAACAGGCCUUCGGGUGCUGACGAGUGGCGAACGGGUGAGUAAUGCAUCGGAACGUGCCCAGAGGUGGGGGAUAACGCAGCGAAAGCUGUGCUAAUACCGCAUGUGAUCUGAGGAUGAAAGCGGGGGACCAAGCAGCAAUGUUUGGCCUCGCGCCUCUGGAGCGGCCGAUGUCAGAUUAGGUAGUUGGUGGGGUAAAGGCCUACCAAGCCGACGAUCUGUAGCUGGUCUGAGAGGACGAUCAGCCACACUGGGACUGAGACACGGCCCAGACUCCUACGGGAGGCAGCAGUGGGGAAUUUUGGACAAUGGGCGCAAGCCUGAUCCAGCAAUGCCGCGUGCGGGAAGAAGGCCUUCGGGUUGUAAACCGCUUUUGUACGGAACGAAAAGGCUCUGGCUAAUACCUGGGGCUGAUGACGGUACCGUAAGAAUAAGCACCGGCUAACUACGUGCCAGCCGCCGCGGUAAUUCA
RNAcentral lists this ribosomal RNA (533 nucleotides) under uncultured bacterium. Its description in RNAcentral is "bacterial SSU rRNA". It matches the Rfam family "Bacterial small subunit ribosomal RNA", at positions 1 to 527 of the family's 1533-position model. The record is from RNAcentral.